UGCAGUCGAACGGUCUUUAGCAAUAGAGAUAGUGGCGCACGGGUGCGUAACGCGUAACCAACCUACCCGAAUCUGGGGGAUAGCCCGCCGAAAGGCGGAUUAAUACCGCAUAAAACGGCAGACCGGCAUCGGUUCACCGUUAAAGAUUUAUUGGAUUCGGAUGGGGUUGCGUGCCAUUAGCUAGUUGGCGGGGUAACGGCCCACCAAGGCGACGAUGGCUAGGGGAGCUGAGAGGCUGGUCCCCCACACGGGCACUGAGAUACGGGCCCGACUCCUACGGGAGGCAGCAGUAGGGAAUAUUGGGCAAUGGUCGAGAGACUGACCCAGCCAUGCCGCGUGCAGGAUGAAGGCUUUCUGAGUCGUAAACUGCUUUUACCAGGGAAGAAAAAAGGGGAUGCGUCCUCUACUGACGGUACCCGGUGAAUAAGCACCGGCUAACUCCGUGCCAGCAGCCGCGGUAAUACGGAGGGUGCAAGCGUUGUCCGGAUUUAUUGGGUUUAAAGGGUGCGUAGGCGGCUUUUUAAGUCCGGGGUGAAAGCCCGUUGCUCAACAACGGAACUGCCCCGGAAACUGGAGAGCUUGAGUACAGACGAGGGUGGCGGAAUGGACGGUGUAGCGGUGAAAUGCAUAGAUACCGUCCAGAACCCCGAUUGCGAAGGCAGCUGCCUAGACUGUAACUGACGCUGAGGCACGAAAGCGU
This 700-nucleotide ribosomal RNA is filed under the name uncultured bacterium. Its description in RNAcentral is "bacterial SSU rRNA". It matches the Rfam family "Bacterial small subunit ribosomal RNA", at positions 56 to 762 of the family's 1533-position model. The record is from RNAcentral.